UCUGGAGCCCCGCCGUGCUUGAGGGUGUAACCUUUGGGCGAGAGCGAGAGUUUCCAAUGGAGACGGUGGAAGAGGUUUAUGUACGACGGAAGAUCGAUAAUACAGGUUGUAAAUAAGAAAAUAAAUGUGUUGGAAAUCUUUUUGUUACAGUAUUACAAUCUACAUAUAACGAUGUUAUUAGAAAAUCGUCUAAAAUGAUAAUAGUUGAGGUUAUCAAGUUAAUAAGCGAUUGGUGACUAUCUGUUGAUUGUCAAAUUCCUAUCCGUGAGAAGUGGACGGGAAUCUUUAAGCAU
This is a long non-coding RNA of Centruroides sculpturatus (bark scorpion), 293 nucleotides long. RefSeq lists it as uncharacterized. The record is from RefSeq and is a predicted model, not a curated record. The transcript is spliced from 2 exons. NCBI's taxonomy places the organism in Eukaryota, Metazoa, Arthropoda, Arachnida, Scorpiones, Buthidae.